RNAcentral lists this ribosomal RNA (809 nucleotides) under Hepatozoon felis. RNAcentral describes it as "bacterial SSU rRNA". It matches the Rfam family "Eukaryotic small subunit ribosomal RNA", at positions 188 to 984 of the family's 1831-position model. The record is from RNAcentral. Lineage: Eukaryota; Apicomplexa; Hepatozoidae.
UAUUUUGGAAGAGAUGCAUUUAUUAGAUAAAAAACCAAUACAUACUUUUUCAAGUAUGAAAUUUGGUGAUUUACAAUAACUUAGCAAAUCGCAUAGUGAAAACAGGCGAUAAAUCAUUCAAGUUUCUGACCUAUCAGCUUUCGACGGUAUGGUAUUGGCUUACCGUGGCAGUGACGGUUAGCGGGGGAUUAGGGUUCGAUUCCGGAGAGGGAGCCUGAGAAACGGCUACCACAUCUAAGGAAGGCAGCAGGCGCGCAAAUUACCCAAUUCUAACAGCAUAAGAGAGGUAGUGACAAGAAAUAACAAUACAAGGCAGUUAAAAUGCUUUGUAAUUGGAAUGAUAGAAAUUUAAACACUUUUUAAAGUAUCAAUUGGAGGGCAAGUCUGGUGCCAGCAGCCGCGGUAAUUCCAGCUUCAAUAGCGUAUAUUAAAAUUGUUGCAGUUAAAAAGCUCGUAGUUGAAUUUCUGUUAAAAAUAACCGGUCUGCUUUUAAUAAAAGUGGUAUCUUGGUGUGUUUUUAGCAAUAAUGUCCUUUGAAAUGUUUUUUACUUUAUUGUAAUAAAUAAUAUUCAGGAUUUUUACUUUGAGAAAAUUAGAGUGUUUCUAGCAGGCUAACGCUUUGAAUACUGCAGCAUGGAAUAAUAAAAUAGGAUUUUAGUUCUACAUUAUUGGUUUUAAGAACUAAAUUAAUGAUUGAUAGGGACAGUUGGGGGCAUUUGUAUUUAACUGUCAGAGGUGAAAUUCUUAGAUUUGUUAAAGACAAACUACUGCGAAAGCAUUUGCCAAAGAUGUUUUCAUUAAUCAAGAAC